RNAcentral lists this ribosomal RNA (408 nucleotides) under uncultured bacterium. RNAcentral's name for it is "bacterial SSU rRNA". It matches the Rfam family "Bacterial small subunit ribosomal RNA", at positions 97 to 520 of the family's 1533-position model. The record is from RNAcentral.
GGCGCACGGGUGCGUAACACGUGAGCAAUCUGCCGGGAAGUGGGGGAUAGCUCGCCGAAAGGCGAAUUAAUACCGCAUGUGGCCAUUCUUCGAGUGGAGGAAAAGCCAAAGCAGCAAUGCGCUUCCUGAUGAGCUCGCGGCUAUCAGCUCGAUGGCGGGGUAAUGGCCCACCAUGGCUUUGACGGGUAGCUGGUCUGAGAGGACGACCAGCCACACUGGAACUGAGACACGGUCCAGACACCUACGGGUGGCAGCAGUCGAGAAUUUUUCACAAUGGGGGAAACCCUGAUGGAGCGACGCCGCGUGGAGGAUGAAGGCCUUCGGGUUGUAAACUCCUGUCAUGCGGGAACAAGCAAGUGAUAGUACCGCAAGAGGAAGAGACGGCUAACUCUGUGCCAGCAGCCGCGG